UAGGGAAUCUUCCGCAAUGGGCGAAAGCCUGACGGAGCAACGCCGCGUGAGUGAUGAAGGUCUUCGGAUCGUAAAACUCUGUUAUUAGGGAAGAACAAAUGUGUAAGUAACUAUGCACGUCUUGACGGUACCUAAUCAGAAAGCCACGGCUAACUACGUGCCAGCAGCCGCGGUAAUACGUAGGUGGCAAGCGUUAUCCGGAAUUAUUGGGCGUAAAGCGCGCGUAGGCGGUUCUUUAAGUCUGAUGUGAAAGCCCACGGCUCAACCGUGGAGGGUCAUUGGAAACUGGAAAACUUGAGUGCAGAAGAGGAAAGUGGAAUUCCAUGUGUAGCGGUGAAAUGCGCAGAGAUAUGGAGGAACACCAGUGGCGAAGGCGACUUUCUGGUCUGUAACUGACGCUGAUGUGCGAAAGCGUGGGGAUCAAACAGG
This 429-nucleotide ribosomal RNA is filed under the name Actinomycetes bacterium. RNAcentral's name for it is "Actinobacteria bacterium partial 16S ribosomal RNA". It matches the Rfam family "Bacterial small subunit ribosomal RNA", at positions 355 to 776 of the family's 1533-position model. Lineage: Bacteria; Bacillati; Actinomycetota; Actinomycetes. The record is from RNAcentral.